RNAcentral lists this ribosomal RNA (494 nucleotides) under uncultured bacterium. Its description in RNAcentral is "partial 16S ribosomal RNA". It matches the Rfam family "Bacterial small subunit ribosomal RNA", at positions 28 to 507 of the family's 1533-position model. The record is from RNAcentral.
GACGAACGCUGGCGGCGUGCUUAACACAUGCCAGUCGAACGGUGAAGCGCCUUCCUUUUUGGUGGGUGUGGAUGAGUGGCGAACGGGUGAGUAACACGUGAGUAACCUGCCCCCUUCUUCUGGAUAACCGCAUGAAAGUGUGGCUAAUACGGGAUAUUCUGGGUCUGUCGCAUGAUGGGUCUGGGAAAGAUAUUGUUUCGGUGGGGGAUGGGCUCGCGGCCUAUCAGCUUGUUGGUGGGGUGAUGGCCUACCAAGGCGGUGACGGGUAGCCGGCCUGAGAGGGUGGACGGUCACACUGGGACUGAGUCACGGCCCAGACUGCUACGGGAGGCAGCAGUGGGGAAUAUUGCGCAAUGGGCGCAAGCCUGAUGCAGCGACGCCGCGUGAGGGAUGGAGGCCUUCGGGUUGUGAACCUCUUUCGCCAGUGAAGCAGGCCUGCCUCGUUUGUGGGUGGGUUGACGGUAGCUGGAUAAGAAGCGCCGGCUAACUACGUG